Long non-coding RNA from Platichthys flesus (European flounder), 1678 nucleotides. RefSeq lists it as uncharacterized. The record is from RefSeq and is a predicted model, not a curated record. The transcript is spliced from 3 exons. Lineage: Eukaryota; Metazoa; Chordata; Actinopteri; Pleuronectiformes; Pleuronectidae.
GCUGUGUAUCACGAAGAACCGGAGAACGGUUGGCGAGUCUGGAUGAGAGGACGGCGGCGGAGUCACUGUGGACGUUGUUCGCUCAGCAGAAGGUCCAACUUGACACACAACUUGAAUCCAACCAGACUGAACACUGACUCCAGGGACAGACGAGCCUGAAGGACACAGCUGUGAUGACCAUGUUCUGUCUCUUAUGGCAAAGCAGAAAUAUAAAACACUGGGUUCUUAUCUAAAGUGUAUCAAAUCAGAUCUCCACCAUGUUGCUGCUGAGGACAUCAGGUGCUGCAGUUCUUCAUCUAUGAAGAGAAAAAACAGCACUGUUAAAGAAUGUUUUGUGUUGUGUAUAAAGCACAACAGAUUUCAGAUAGAACUGUUGUACUGUGGUCUUGGUUUAUAUCCUCAUGGUGAAAUGUACAUAUUUUAAGUCCCUUCUGAUAAAAGUGCUGAAAGAAAUACAACAUUGUACAAAUACAUAAAAUGUCUUUCUACCUCAUCAGUACUAUUCAAGGUGAUAAUCUCCCACAGACCUAUUGAUAACAGUCCAAAUCAAGUCUUUCCACUUCUCUCAGUGUGAAAACAUAAUUCUAUAAUUAAUUUGAGAACUGUUUACAACAAUGAUGUGUGGAGAUUAAAAUCAUACCUAAACUGUCUAAUUCACUGUAAAACUCCAUGACAUUCGCAGGCCAUCUGUAGUUAAGGGAGCAACGCAUGGAGUGAUGUGUAGAUUACUAGUUUGAUGAUGCAUGAGGAGAGGCGGUGGUCGAGUGGCAGAAACUUGGACUAUGGGCAGAGAAGGUCUCUGGUUCGUCUUUGGUUCGACUCCAUGGAGAGACAACAAAAGUCGAACCUGGAUUGAUCUGUCCAAAAAUCCAAGAGUCUCCCUACCCUCUCUAGUGCCCAUGAGCAAGGCACCUCACUCCCCCAACAUCUGCUCCCCCGAGCGCCGUACAUGGUCGCUCACUGCUCUGUGUGUCCUGCACCAGAUGGGUAAAAAGCAGCGAUUAAAUUUCCCUACCUGCAUGAGUGUGCCUUUGCAUGUCUGUGCAUGUGUUUGGGAUGAAUAAAUGGAUUUUAAUCUUAAUCUUUUAAUCUUAAUCAGUUGUCUUCCAGUUGACCAGCAUGAAGCUGCAGAUCUCCACCAUGUUGCUGCUGGGGACAUCAGGAGCUGCAUUAAUGAGGAGCAGAAGCGUACUGUUAUGAAUGUUUUGUGUUGUUUAUGAAGCACUACUUAUUUCAGCUAGAACCGAUGUACUAGGGUCUGGGUUUGUAUCCUAAUGGUUAAAUGCACAUACUUUAAAUCGCUUUUGAUAAAACGUGACAAAGAAAUACAACAUUGUACACAUAGAUAAAAUGUCUUUCUACCUCAUCUGUAAUAUUCAAGGUGAUGAUCUCCCACAGAGCUGUUGAUAACAGUCCACAUCAAGUCUCUCCACUUCCCUCAGUGUGAAAACAUAAUUAUAUAAUUAAUUGGAGAAGUGUUUACGACACUGAUGUGUGGACAUUAUAAUGUUAUCACUACUGUCUAAUUCAAUCUACAAGUCCAUGACAGACUAAAUAAACAAUGUGAAAAUAGUAAUGGCGGAUAUACCAUCCUGUAUCAGAAUAUUGGUGAAACAGUUACUAUCACAUGAAACGUACACGUGUAGCGUAUUGAUAGUAACUCAUUAAAAAAAAUAAU